AGAAGGCCGUUGUGAAUUAACUAACUGCCCUACGACUUGAGAGCGGUUUGCUCUCAGUUCACCAUGUACAGUGUCAGUGCACCCUCAGGUUCCAGUGAUAAAACAGCUUCCGGUGGUAUGAUGGUUUUAGCAGGCAGAUCUGAGUUAUACUGGGGGGGUGGGGGGUUUUGCCUCAAACUGAGCUUCCAUAUGGGCAACCAAGAAAGGUGCCUGCAUGCUUUAAGUGGACGCUGGAAGUCAGAUUGCGAUUCAACUCCCGGGCAAUGCUGCCACAUUCAUCCUUUCAGCGCAUCCAAACCACUUUCGCAUGGAUGCAGCAGUGAGAGUAUAACUGCGCCCUCAGAAGCUGCCCGGGCCCCGCUGGAUGAAGGCAACUUUGCAACGCACACGCACCAUCCCAAACACCGAGCAAGAUGGGUUUAAACGCAUUGUGGCGAAGAAAGGCGUUUCCCUGAUAUUCCUGUGGGAAUCGCAGUGCUGGUGCAAUAAGCAGGACAACAUACGGAGAACCUUAACAAUGGGGGAAUAGUUAUCCAGUUGAUACAGCGGGAAGAUGUGGAGAUCUCCUAACAUAGUAUCUGUACAGCCAGUUUAUCUUAAAGAUACAGCACAGAGAAUGAAAACCCCGUACAGACACCAGGACAGAGACUGGGGGUACAAAUAAACAGCAAGGCAAAAACGCCACACAUUAAUCGGUACCAACAAGUCAUUGUUCUAUGUUUACACCUUCCAACUGGAGAAUAGGAAUAUCAUUAAAGAAGGAUUUGAGAUUAACAGAC
This is a long non-coding RNA of Carcharodon carcharias (great white shark), 779 nucleotides long. RefSeq lists it as uncharacterized. The transcript has 4 exons. NCBI's taxonomy places the organism in Eukaryota, Metazoa, Chordata, Chondrichthyes, Lamniformes, Lamnidae. The record is from RefSeq and is a predicted model, not a curated record.